GUUUUGGGGCUCAGUGGCACAGCGCUUGCCUAGCAUGCAUGAGGUAUUGGGUUUGAUCCCCAGCACCACA
Molecule: transfer RNA, 70 nt
Filed under: Marmota monax (woodchuck)
Lineage: Eukaryota; Metazoa; Chordata; Mammalia; Rodentia; Sciuridae
Description: tRNA.Ala
Source: RNAcentral